UAAGGAAUAUUGGUCAAUGGGCGUAAGCCUGAACCAGCCAUCCCGCGUGCAGGAAGACGGCGCUAUGCGUUGUAAACUGCUUUUCCAGGGGAAGAAAACCCGCUACGAGUAGCGGCUUGCCGGUACCCUGGGAAUAAGCAUCGGCUAACUCCGUGCCAGCAGCCGCGGUAAUACGGAGGAUGCGAGCGUUAUCCGGAUUUAUUGGGUUUAAAGGGUGCGUAGGCGGAUUAAUAAGUUAGCGGUGAAAACCUUCAGCUUAACUGGAGAAUUGCCACUGAUACUGUUAGUCUCGAGUACGGUCAAGGUAGGCGGAAUGUGUAAUGUAGCGGUGAAAUGCUUAGAUAUUACACAGAACACCGAUUGCGAAGGCAGCUUACUGGGCCAUUACUGACGCUGAGGCACGAAAGCGUGGGGAGCGAACAGG
RNAcentral lists this ribosomal RNA (424 nucleotides) under uncultured bacterium. Its description in RNAcentral is "bacterial SSU rRNA". It matches the Rfam family "Bacterial small subunit ribosomal RNA", at positions 355 to 776 of the family's 1533-position model. The record is from RNAcentral.